RNAcentral lists this ribosomal RNA (249 nucleotides) under uncultured bacterium. RNAcentral's name for it is "partial 16S ribosomal RNA". It matches the Rfam family "Bacterial small subunit ribosomal RNA", at positions 57 to 305 of the family's 1533-position model. The record is from RNAcentral.
GCAAGUCGAGGGGCAGCAUUUACUUCGGUAAGAUGGCGACCGGCGCACGGGUGCGUAACGCGUAUGCAACCUGCCUUAUACAGGAAGAUAGCCCAGAGAAAUUUGGAUUAACAUUCCAUAGUACCAUAAAGCUGCAUAGUUUAAUGGUUAAAACUUCGGUGGUAUAAGAUGGGCAUGCGUAUGAUUAGGUAGUUGGUGAGGUAACGGCUCACCAAGUCUACGAUCUUUAGGGGUUCUGAGAGGAAGGUC